This 221-nucleotide long non-coding RNA is filed under the name Malus domestica (apple). RNAcentral describes it as "long non-coding RNA (MDOM_LNC017429)". The record is from RNAcentral. Lineage: Eukaryota; Viridiplantae; Streptophyta; Magnoliopsida; Rosales; Rosaceae.
AUCAGGCAAGGGGUUCCAGGCAGUCAGUUCCUGAAUGAAGCUUGAUCCCAAGUGUUGACUGAUUGCUCUCUUUCUCCUUAUCUUACAAGUAAGAACAAGGCCAAAGGAAAAGACAGAGAAAAAGCAUGAUAUGGGAUACUCUUGCUUUUAACCCUGAUGAUAUGAGAUACUCUUGCUCUGGUGUGGCUUGAUGCUAAAAUUAACUUAACACACAAAUUAAA